Molecule: ribosomal RNA, 854 nt
Filed under: Camposporium sp.
Lineage: Eukaryota; Fungi; Ascomycota; Dothideomycetes; Pleosporales; Melanommataceae
Description: SSU rRNA
Rfam family: Eukaryotic small subunit ribosomal RNA
Source: RNAcentral
GAAACUGCGAAUGGCUCAUUAAAUCAGUUAUCGUUUAUUUGAUAGUACCUUACCACUUGGAUAACCGUGGUAAUUCUAGAGCUAAUACAUGCUAAAAACCCCGACUUCGGAAGGGGUGUGUUUAUUAGAUAAAAAACCAAUGCCCUUCGGGGCUCUUUGGUGAUUCAUGAUAACCUAACGGAUCGCAUGGCCUUGCGCCGGCGACGGUUCAUUCAAAUUUCUGCCCUAUCAACUUUCGAUGGUAAGGUAUUGGCUUACCAUGGUUUCAACGGGUAACGGGGAAUUAGGGUUCGAUUCCGGAGAGGGAGCCUGAGAAACGGCUACCACAUCCAAGGAAGGCAGCAGGCGCGCAAAUUACCCAAUCCCGACACGGGGAGGUAGUGACAAUAAAUACUGAUACAGGGCUCUUUUGGGUCUUGUAAUUGGAAUGAGUACAAUUUAAACCCCUUAACGAGGAACAAUUGGAGGGCAAGUCUGGUGCCAGCAGCCGCGGUAAUUCCAGCUCCAAUAGCGUAUAUUAAAGUUGUUGCAGUUAAAAAGCUCGUAGUUGAAACUUGGGUCUGGCUAGCGGGUCCGCCUCACCGCGUGCACUUGUCCGGCUGGACCUUUCCUUCUGGAGAACCUCAUGCCCUUCACUGGGUGUGUUGGGGAACCAGGACUUUUACUUUGAAAAAAUUAGAGUGUUCAAAGCAGGCCUUUGCUCGAAUACGUUAGCAUGGAAUAAUAGAAUAGGACGUGCGGUCCUAUUUUGUUGGUUUCUAGGAUCGCCGUAAUGAUUAAUAGGGAUAGUCGGGGGCAUCAGUAUUCAAUUGUCAGAGGUGAAAUUCUUGGAUUUAUUGAAGACUAACUACUGC